Molecule: ribosomal RNA, 158 nt
Filed under: Boletus edulis
Lineage: Eukaryota; Fungi; Basidiomycota; Agaricomycetes; Boletales; Boletaceae
Description: 5.8S ribosomal RNA
Rfam family: 5.8S ribosomal RNA (bases 1-89)
About the family: 5.8S ribosomal RNA (5.8S rRNA) is a component of the large subunit of the eukaryotic ribosome. It is transcribed by RNA polymerase I as part of the 45S precursor that also contains 18S and 28S rRNA.
Source: RNAcentral
GUGAAUUGCAGAUUUUCAGUGAAUCAUCGAAUCUUUGAACGCACCUUGCGCUCCUUGGUAUUCCGAGGAGCAUGCCUGUUUGAGUGUCAUCGAAUUCUCAACCAUGUCUUGAAUUAGGCAUGGCUUGGACUUGGGAGUUGCUGGCGGCCUCGUCAGCU